Molecule: long non-coding RNA, 1941 nt
Filed under: Mus musculus (house mouse)
Lineage: Eukaryota; Metazoa; Chordata; Mammalia; Rodentia; Muridae
Description: RIKEN cDNA 9230109A22 gene
Source: RNAcentral
AGGGCUGCUGAGAUGGUUCAGUGAGUAAACACGCUUAUCACCAGGUCCAGCGACCUGAAUUCAGUUUCAGUUUCCAAGUUCACACUGGAGGAUGGAGAAAAUGAAGAAAGCUGUAAAUGUUUUCCUCUGACUGUGUACUAUGCCUCCUAAUAUAUAUAUUUAAAUUCCUCUAUCCAGAAUAACAGAGAAUAGAGGACCAACAAAGACCUCCUUAUGACACAAAACAAAUGGACCCUGGAAGGUUCAUUGGAAGUUCAAAAGACUUUCCCUGCCCUGCAACAGCUAGAGCCAGCAGGAGUUCGUGCUGAGCAGCUCAUCGAGGAACUGCUUUGAUCAGAAUCCUGGCAUGAUAGAACCAACAGACACAUUGCAAGUGCCAUAUCAAAAAGACCCUUGGCAAAUCUACUGUGAAGACUUUCCAUUUGGAUCCAUUUCAGUUGCAUGUGACUUCUUUAAAGUUCAGAGUAUGUGGUUUAGUGUCUGUUUAUAUGGCUUGUGUGUAUUUGUAUCUAUGUGCAAGAGCUGUGAAUGCGUGUGUUUCCUGGGAUACAUUCUGAGAAUCACUUUUUCAGUUAAUGAUGCUGGUGUGUGCAUGAGACCCUCUGGAUUCAUACAUCCCCAUCUCACUGGUAACUUUUCAAGGAAAGUCAUGCGCUGUGACAUUGUCCAAGAGAUGUGCUAGGUUUCACAGUUUCUCUUUUAAUUGUGGGUUAAGAUUAAUGUGUUCCCUGAACCAAGGGGAAUCAUGUUGGUAAACUGUUGACUUGUUUUGAGAAAAUGAUUCAGUACAAAACAUUUUCUUGUUAUAGAUAGCAGAAAUCAAGUUUAUAACUCAAAAGAGCUGAUGUAGUACUGGGUUGCUAUCUAAAUCUGUCACAAACAUAAACAGCUCUUGUUCCUGCUAAAAAUAGUGUGAAGUGUAAUUAAUUGAAUGUGAAAAAUGUAUUCCUUUCUACAAACUUGUCAUUAAAUGUGUCUAAUUGGGAAUCAGGAAACCAUUGGUUUAUAACUUGUAAAAUUAGUGUUUCCUGGUUACUGAGAAGUCCUGAUAAUGUAUUCAAGCAUCUAUUUAUCUUGUCUCCGUGUGUCUGUGGAUGUAUGUGUGUGAACAGGUACACAUUUUUGUAUAUAUUCCCGUGUGUAUGGAGACCAGGUUUUAUAUUGCUUCUCCCAUUGUCAUGUGCCACUACAUCCUCUUGUGACAACCUGAAGCUCCUUGAACCCAAAGCUCACCAAUUGGCUGGACUGGAUGACCCACUGGCUCUGAGAAUCUGUCUGUAGCAGCCACCCUCUGCCCAGCAGAAAUGAAAUUACAGAUUGACACGGACACUUCUGGCUUUUCCAUAGGUUCUGUGUCUUCACACACAAAUCCUCAUGCUUGCAUAGCAGCACAUUACCGACUAAGCCAUUCCCCUAUUUAUCUUUUCACACAGUAUACCUGCUCAGAUGCUGGACAUAGAUACCCCAUAGGUUAAAAACAUUACUCCACCCUUCCCAUGGUUUGAGUGGUUUCCUAUGACCUUUAGCAUAAUAGGAAUAUAUUGAAUAUAUUGAAGUAUUAAAUGGAGUGCUGGUUUUGGAUAUAUGUUUAAUAAUGCAAAGGUUAGAGCAGAAUUUGGCGAUAAACAAUGUGGAAUCAGGGUAAACACCAUAAAUGAGAUUUCCCAGGCUUAGCUUGCUACUGAAGUUUAGAAAUAGAAAAAGUUUCAGAGUGCUACUGGCUUCUCUUGCUGUUAAUUUGUUUGAUUUCAUUUUUAUUUAUCUUUUAAAAUUUUCCCAGUCCACAGACAGCUCGCAUGUCUAUAAUGUAAUAAUAACCUCUUGCCCUAAUUCAAAUAUGUACACACGAUUUGAAAUGUCUCAAUUUUCUUAAUACUUUCUUGCUUUUUAAAGGGUCUUUUGGGGACAAUCGUUUUUGUCGGAUUAAAAAUAAUGUUAGCU